Molecule: unclassified non-coding RNA, 3411 nt
Filed under: Hevea brasiliensis (rubber tree)
Lineage: Eukaryota; Viridiplantae; Streptophyta; Magnoliopsida; Malpighiales; Euphorbiaceae
Source: RNAcentral
CAAAAAUAAAAAAAUAUAUAAACCGAAAAGAGCCCAUCUGUAUUUCUAUACUGGAAAAAAAAAAAAGCUCACUUGUUCUUCUAGGGUUUCACAAGAUCUCUUUUGCCUCUGCAAAACACGAGCGAAUUGCGAUUUCUAGGGUUACGAUUUGUGUUUGUUCGGGUGUUUGAUGGUCCGAGGAGUGAUUUGAGGGUAUAAAUCUUGAUUUUUUCUGGAAGAUUUUGAAGAGAGAAAGGAAACGAUGGCGCCUUUUGACAAAGAGCUUGAAGAGCAGAUUGCUGUUGCUGGGAACAAGCUGAUUGAGCCUCCUUCUUCACUUGAAGAACUCCUCCGUUUGCUUGACCAAGUAGAGUCUUCCCUGUCUAAAGUGGAGCAGUCACCAGCGAAAUCAAUGCAUGAUGCACUUUCUCCAUUGAUGAAGGCAUUGGUUGCAAAUGAUCUCUUGAGGCAUUCUGAUGUUGAUGUGAAGGUCGCAGUUGCUUCGUGUAUUAGUGAGAUAACUAGAAUUACUGCACCAGACGCUCCAUAUGAUGACGACAAAAUGAAGGAUAUCUUUCAAUUAAUUGUGUCGUCUUUUGAGAAUCUGGAUGACCAGUCUAGCAGAUCUUAUAAUAAGAGGGUGAUGAUCCUUGAGACAGUGGCCAAGGUCAGGUCAUGUGUUGUCAUGCUGGAUCUAGAAUGUGAUGGGCUCAUCGCUGAGAUGUUUCAGCACUUCCUUAAAGCUAUAAGAGAGGAUCACUCUGAAAAUGUUUUUUCAUCCAUGGCAACAAUCAUGACUCUUGUGCUGGAAGAGAGCGAAGAAGUGUCGUUGGAAUUGCUUACCCCUCUAUUGGCUAGUGUUAAAAAGGACAAUGCGGAGGUCACACCAGUGGCUAAAAGGUUGGGAGAGACAGUAUUUGCAAACUGUGCUGCAAAGCUUAAGCCUUACUUGCCUCAAGCAGUAGAAUCAUUGCAAAUCUCCUUAAAUGAGUACAAUAAGAUUGUUACUUCAGUCUUGGAAGGGACUCUUCCAGCUGUUGAUGGUAUUAAUGACGGUGCUCCUAAGGACGAAUUGGUCACUGAAGUCAAGUUGGCUGAACUUCCGGAGGCUGCUCAGGCAACUCAGGAUGGUGGAAGCAAAGUGGGUCCAGCAUCUUCAGGCGAAGCAGUCCAGACGGCUGAGAGCGGGAGGGAUGAGGCAUGUUUGGAAGAUAUUGAGCCUGCUGUGAAUGGAUCUCCCAAAUCAAUCACAAGCAAUGGUGGUAGUUUGGAGAAUGUGAGAUUGACUUCUGAAACAGAAUCGCUGAUGAAAGCUGGAGCUCAUGAUGAGGUGGAUCUCCAUGAUGCUUCAAAGAUACCAUCUGAAUCUGAUGAUUCAAGGGUUGAAAAGUCUACAAAGUCGGAGCCCAAGUCUAUGAAGUCAGAGCCCAAGUCGGAGCAACCUUCUAAGAAGAGAGGAAGGAAGACAGUCUCUUCAAUAAACUCAGCCGAAUCUUCUCACCAAGCUCCUGAAGGAAGUGGAAAAGAAAUUGAGAAGCUUCAAGAUCAUCAGAAUGAUCAAAACAAAGAUGACCAUAGUUCAGCUUCUGAAGAUCCAGUGGUUGAGCAGUCCAAUCUGUUGGAGAAGGAACCAGAAACUAAUCAGCACUCUGCACCCAAAGAAUCUGAGGAGGAAGUUGUGGAUGUUGCUCCUCCAUCCCAAGGUCAGAGCCUUCCUGAAGAGAUUGCACUGAAGAAGGGUGAUCUCCCAAUGGAGGACAACUCAAAUCAAGACGGUGAGUCUAAGAAGGAAAUUGAAGCUGGAAGUGACUUGGAAGUUAAGCAGGUGAGGCGCCCUUUGAGGAAGACUCCUUUAGAACCUUGUCGUAAGGAGAAAGGUGGAUCCACCAGUGAUACCGAGGCUAAAAAGCUGAAGCAAUCGGGUAAGAAUGUUGACACCAAAAAUAAGAGUCAGGUUGGUCCAUCUGCGAGAAAUAAGGAAGAUAGCAAAAAACGUGGACAUGGAAAAGCUAGUCAGGAGACGUUGCCUUCACAAGAGUCUCCUGAUCGCUCUGUUAAACAUGAUGAAGAUAACGAAGAGGAAAUUCCCAGGACCACUACAAAGAGAAAGCGUUCUUCAAGCAAGGGCAGGGGGAGUAGGCAAGUUGUGCAGAAGAGUGUGCCUACGCCCGAGUCUCCCGACAAUUCAACUAAACAUAUAAGCGACGAAGAUGAGACUGACACAAGUGCAAAGAAAAAGCCUUCUUCAGGCAACGACAGGGUAACAGAGACUGUGCAAUGUGAUAAGAAUCUGGUUGGUAGAAAGAUCAGAGUUUGGUGGCCAUUAGAUGAACUAUUUUAUGAAGGGACGGUUAGCAAUUAUGAUUCUUCCAGGAAGAAGUUCACAGUUGACUAUACUGAUGGAGAGACAGAAAAAUUGAAUCUCUUGAAGGAACGCUGGGAACUUGUUGAAGAUGAUAAUAUGUCAGAAGAGGAGCAAGUAGCCAGCGCUGAUGCAGCAGCUUCGGAAAGUCAUAAGAAGAAAAAACCUAGGAAUGCUGAACCAUCACUAAAGCAUGAAAUGGAUGCUUCACCUAAAAGCAAGUCAAAAGAGGCGACAGCUAAAUCUGGACAGAAAUCCAAGGGUAAACUCAACUUGAAAGAUGGCACCUCAAAAUCUGCCGGGAAAGCUGAUGACACAACCAGCAGCAAGUCUGCGGCUCCAUCCAAAAGGAGCACUGGCAAAUCAGUUGAUACUGAAAAGCCAUCUGCCAGGUCUAAAGAUGUUAGUAGUAGUACUCCCAAAUCCAAGUCCAGGCAAGAUACUCCAUCAACAACUGCCAACAAGUCCAAGCAAGAAACAGUUAAAGCUGCCAACAAGUCCAAAACCAAAACCCCCCAAAGUGGUGGCAAGUCCGGUGCCAAUGGUUCGGAGAAGCUAAAAUCUAGUUCAUCAAAGGUUAAAGAGAGUGGGAACCAGAAGGAAAAAGCAACUAACUCAGCAAAAACCCCUGAUGGCAGCACCAAGGAGAAACUGUCUAGUGCAUCAAAGGAACGACAGAGUGAGCCCAAGAGUGGAAAGAAGCGUGCGAGGGGGAAAAACUGAUUAUUUGUUGCACAUUGUAAUAGUGGAGCUCCUCCUACUUACAUUCUUGGACCCAUUGCGGCUCAUUGAAGAUGCUACGGUGCCUACUAUUCCUUGUGUGCUAUUGCUGUUUGGCAAAAUCUUGAGGUGCAGCUUGCAAAUGCCUGUCUUAGCCUUUUGGUUAUGGUGGUGCGUGCUAGGUUUCUGGAUAGUUUUUUUUUUCAGUUUAAAGCAUAUUGUUAGAGAUGUAAUUGGUUAGAUUUAUCAUUUUGGUUGCUAGCUGUAUUCACUUUUGUUACUUUUAGCCCUCUUAGCGUAGGAAGGAGAUACUCUGUUGAUGAGUAUUUUAUGGAUGCGUUGGAUCAUAA